RNAcentral lists this ribosomal RNA (374 nucleotides) under uncultured organism. Its description in RNAcentral is "partial 16S ribosomal RNA". It matches the Rfam family "Bacterial small subunit ribosomal RNA", at positions 527 to 896 of the family's 1533-position model. The record is from RNAcentral.
GUAGGUGGCAAGCGUUGUCCGGAAUUAUUGGGCGUAAAGCGCGCGCAGGCGGGUCCUUUAAGUCUGAUGUGAAAGCCCACGGGCUCAACCGUGGAGGGUCAUUGGAAACUGGGGGACUUGAGUACAGAAGAGGAAAGCGGAACUCCAAGUGUAGCGGUGAAAUGCGUAGAGAUUUGGAGGAACACCAGUGGCGAAGGCGGCUUUCUGGUCUGUAACUGACGCUGAGGCGCGAAAGCGUGGGGAGCAAACAGGAUUAGAUACCCUGGUAGUCCACGCCGUAAACGAUGAGUGCUAAGUGUUAGGGGGUUUCCGCCCCUUAGUGCUGCAGCUAACGCAUUAAGCACUCCGCCUGGGGAGUACGGCCGCAAAGGCUG